RNAcentral lists this ribosomal RNA (465 nucleotides) under Vreelandella stevensii. Its description in RNAcentral is "partial 16S ribosomal RNA". It matches the Rfam family "Bacterial small subunit ribosomal RNA", at positions 338 to 795 of the family's 1533-position model. The record is from RNAcentral. Lineage: Bacteria; Pseudomonadati; Pseudomonadota; Gammaproteobacteria; Oceanospirillales; Halomonadaceae.
CCUACGGGAGGCUGCAGUGGGGAAUAUUGGACAAUGGGGGCAACCCUGAUCCAGCCAUGCCGCGUGUGUGAAGAAGGCCCUCGGGUUGUAAAGCACUUUCAGUGAGGAAGAACGCCUGGUGGUUAAUACCCAUCAGGAAAGACAUCACUCACAGAAGAAGCACCGGCUAACUCCGUGCCAGCAGCCGCGGUAAUACGGAGGGUGCGAGCGUUAAUCGGAAUUACUGGGCGUAAAGUGCGCGUAGGUGGCUUGAUAAGCCGGUUGUGAAAGCCCCGGGCUCAACCUGGGAACGGCAUCCGGAACUGUCAAGCUAGAGUGCAGGAGAGGAAGGUAGAAUUCCCGGUGUAGCGGUGAAAUGCGUAGAGAUCGGGAGGAAUACCAGUGGCGAAGGCGGCCUUCUGGACUGACACUGACACUGAGGUGCGAAAGCGUGGGUAGCAAACAGGAUUAGAUACCCCAGUAGUC